CCGCUGAACUUAAGCAUAUCAAUAAGCGGAGGAAAAGAAACCAACAGGGAUUGCCCUAGUAACGGCGAGUGAAGCGGCAACAGCUCAAAUUUGAAAUCUGGCCUCGGCCCGAGUUGUAAUUUGCAGAGGAUGUUUCUGGCGCGGUGCCUUCCGAGUUCCCUGGAACGGGACGCCACAGAGGGUGAGAGCCCCGUAUGGUUGGACACCAAGCCUGUGUGAAACUCCUUCGACGAGUCGAGUAGUUUGGGAAUGCUGCUCUAAAUGGGAGGUAAAUCUCUUCUAAAGCUAAAUACCGGCCAGAGACCGAUAGCGCACAAGUAGAGUGAUCGAAAGAUGAAAAGCACCUUGAAAAGGGGGUUAAACAGUACGUGAAAUUGUUGAAAGGGAAGCGCUCAUGACCAGACUUGUGCCGGGCGGUUCAUCCGGGGUUCUCCCCGGUGCACUCCGCCCGGUUCAGGCCAGCAUCGGUUCUCGUUGGGGGAUAAGAACGGUAGGAACGUGGCCCUCCCUCGGGAGGGUGUUAUAGCCUGCCGUACGAUACCCUGAUGGGGACCGAGGUUCGCGCUCCGCAAGGAUGCUGGCGUAAUGGUCAUCAGCGACCCGUCUUGAAACACGGACCAAGGAGUCGUCCAUUAGAGCGAGCGUUUGGGUGUAAAACCCGCACGCGUAAUGAAAGUGAAAUUAGGUGAGAGCUUCGGCGCAUCAUCGACCGAUCCUGAUGUUCUCGGAUGGAUUUGAGUAAGAGUUUUAACGGACGGACCCGAAAGACAGUGAACUAUGCUUGUAUAGGGUGAAGCCAGAGGAAACUCUGGUGGAGGCUCGCAGCGGUUCUGACGUGCAAAUCGAUCGUCAAAUAUGAGCAUGGGGGCGAAAGACUAAUCGAACUGUCUAGUAGCUGGUUACCGCCGA
RNAcentral lists this ribosomal RNA (909 nucleotides) under Harknessia ravenstreetina. RNAcentral describes it as "eukaryotic LSU rRNA". It matches the Rfam family "Eukaryotic large subunit ribosomal RNA", at positions 25 to 964 of the family's 3401-position model. The record is from RNAcentral. Lineage: Eukaryota; Fungi; Ascomycota; Sordariomycetes; Diaporthales; Harknessiaceae.